AUUGAACGCUGGCGGCAUGCCUUACACAUGCAAGUCGAACGGUAACAGGGAGCUUGCUCCGCUGACGAGUGGCGAAACGGGUGAGUAAUGUAUCGGAACGUACCAUUCAGUGGGGGAUAACGUAGCGAAAGUUACGCUAAUACCGCAUAUUCUGUGAGCAGGAAAGCAGGGGAUCGCAAGACCUUGCGCUGAUUGAGCGGCCGAUAUCAGAUUAGCUAGUUGGUGAGGUAAAGGCUCACCAAGGCGACGAUCUGUAGCGGGUCUGAGAGGAUGAUCCGCCACACUGGAACUGAGACACGGUCCAGACUCCUACGGGAGGCAGCAGUGGGGAAUUUUGGACAAUGGGGGCAACCCUGAUCCAGCCAUGCCGCGUGAGUGAAGAAGGCCCUCGGGUUGUAAAGCUCUUUCGGCCGGGAAGAAAUCGCAUGGGUUAAUACCCUGUGCGGAUGACGGUACCGGCAAUAAGAAGCACCGGCUAACUACGUG
This 486-nucleotide ribosomal RNA is filed under the name uncultured bacterium. RNAcentral's name for it is "bacterial SSU rRNA". It matches the Rfam family "Bacterial small subunit ribosomal RNA", at positions 30 to 507 of the family's 1533-position model. The record is from RNAcentral.